UUUACGAUUUAGUCCCUGGGUAUUGCCAUUAUUAACAAGCCAGUCCCUGUAUUUUCAGAAACCUAUUAAAAUGUCCUUAUAUUUUCUCUCCGUCAACGAAAUAGUCCUUCUGUCUAUUUUUGCCGUUAAAAAUAUAGUAAAAGACUAAAUUACCCCCAAUUAUUUUUCUCCUCCUCCUCCUUCCUUUUCUUCUUCAUUAAUUCUUCUUCCUUUUGCUUCUUCUUCUUCUGCUUCUUCUUCUUCAGCUUCUGUUUUUUC
This 258-nucleotide long non-coding RNA is filed under the name Manihot esculenta (cassava). RNAcentral describes it as "long non-coding RNA (MESC_LNC008741)". The record is from RNAcentral. Lineage: Eukaryota; Viridiplantae; Streptophyta; Magnoliopsida; Malpighiales; Euphorbiaceae.